CUAGAGUUACAUAGAGGUAAGUGGAAUUCUUAGUGGAGCGGUGGAAUGCGUAGAUAUUAGGAAGAACACCAAUGGCGAAGGCAGCUUACUGGAUGUACACUGACGCUCAGGGACGAAAGCGUGGGGAGCAAACAGGAUUAGAUACCCUGGUAGUCCACGCCGUAAACGAUGAUCAUUAGCCGCUAGAAUAUUUAGUGGCGCAGCUAACGCAUUAAAUGAUCCGCCUGAGUAGUAUGCUCGCAAGAGUGAAACUUAAAGGAAUUGACGGGGACCCGCACAAGCGGUGGAGCAUGUGGUUUAAUUUGAAGAUACGCGUAGAACCUUACCCACUCUUGACAUCUUCCGCAAUACUAUGGAGACAUAGUGGAGGUUAACGGAAUGACAGAUGGUGCAUGGUUGUCGUCAGCUCGUGCCGUGAGGUGUUAGGUUAAGUCCUGCAACGAGCGCAACCCCUGUCUUUAGUUACUAACGGAUAAUGCCGAGGACUCUAGAGAGACUGACUGGGUAACCAGUAGGAAGGUGGGGACGACGUCAAAUCAUCAUGCCUCUUACGAGUGGGGCAACACACGUGCUACAAUGGACGGUACAAAGAGAAGCAAUAUGGUGACAUGGAGCAAACCUCAAAAAACCGUUCUCAGUUCGGAUUGAAGUCUGAAACUCGACUUCAUGAAGUUGGAAUCGCUAGUAAUCGUAGAUCAGCUACGCUACGGUGAAUACGUUCUCGGGUCUUGUACACACCGCCCGUC
Molecule: ribosomal RNA, 746 nt
Filed under: uncultured Mycoplasma sp.
Lineage: Bacteria; Bacillati; Mycoplasmatota; Mollicutes; Mycoplasmatales; Mycoplasmataceae
Description: bacterial SSU rRNA
Rfam family: Bacterial small subunit ribosomal RNA
Source: RNAcentral